RNAcentral lists this transfer RNA (75 nucleotides) under bacterium. RNAcentral's name for it is "tRNA-Asn". It matches the Rfam family "tRNA". Rfam says of the family: Transfer RNA (tRNA) molecules are approximately 80 nucleotides in length. Their secondary structure includes four short double-helical elements and three loops (D, anti-codon, and T loops). The record is from RNAcentral.
UCCGGCGUAGCUCAGUGGUAGAGUGGGUGGCUGUUAACCACUUGGUCGUAGGUUCGAAUCCUACCGCCGGAGCCA